GGAUGAACGCUAGCGGCAGGCUAACACAUGCAAGUCGAGGGGCAUCGGGAGUAGCAAUACUUGCCGGCGACCGGCGCAAGGGUGCGUAACGCGUGAGCAACAUGCCCGUAUCAGGGGGAUAAUCCAUGGAAACGUGGUCUAAUACCCCAUAGUAAUUAUGUAAGGCAUCUUAUAUAAUUUAAAGCUUUGGUGGAUACGGAUUGGCUCGCGUGACAUUAGCUGGAUGGUAAGGUAACGGCUUACCAUGGCUACGAUGUCUAGGGGUUCUGAGAGGAAGGUCCCCCCACACUGGAACUGAGACACGGUCCAGACUCCUACGGGAGGCAGCAGUGAGGAAUAUUGGACAAUGGAUGGAAAUCUGAUCCAGCCAUGCCGCGUGCAGGAAAGACGGCCCUAUGGGUUGUAAACUGCUUUUGUAUGGGAGCAAUAAGGGCUACGUGUAGUCCGAUGAGAGUACCAUACGAAUAAGCACCGGCUAACUCCGUGCCAGCCGCAGC
This 497-nucleotide ribosomal RNA is filed under the name uncultured bacterium. RNAcentral describes it as "bacterial SSU rRNA". It matches the Rfam family "Bacterial small subunit ribosomal RNA", at positions 27 to 518 of the family's 1533-position model. The record is from RNAcentral.